RNAcentral lists this small RNA (16 nucleotides) under Arabidopsis thaliana (thale cress). Its description in RNAcentral is "ATSL181970". Lineage: Eukaryota; Viridiplantae; Streptophyta; Magnoliopsida; Brassicales; Brassicaceae. The record is from RNAcentral.
AAAAAGAAGAAAAGAA